This is an unclassified non-coding RNA of Macaca fascicularis (crab-eating macaque), 147 nucleotides long. It matches the Rfam family "Metazoan signal recognition particle RNA". Rfam says of the family: The signal recognition particle (SRP) is a universally conserved ribonucleoprotein. It is involved in the co-translational targeting of proteins to membranes. The eukaryotic SRP consists of a 300-nucleotide 7S RNA and six proteins: SRPs 72, 68, 54, 19, 14, and 9. Lineage: Eukaryota; Metazoa; Chordata; Mammalia; Primates; Cercopithecidae. The record is from Ensembl.
GCCGGGCAUGAUGGCUCAUGCCUGUAAUCCCAGCCACUUGGGAGGCUGAGGCAGGAUAAUUGCUUUAAUCCGGGAGGCAGAGGUUGCAGUGAGCCGAGACGCGCCACUGUACUCCAGCCUGGGUGGCAGAGCAAGACUCUGCCUCAA